This 406-nucleotide ribosomal RNA is filed under the name uncultured bacterium. Its description in RNAcentral is "partial 16S ribosomal RNA". It matches the Rfam family "Bacterial small subunit ribosomal RNA", at positions 30 to 526 of the family's 1533-position model. The record is from RNAcentral.
AUUGAACGCUGGCGGCAGGCUUAACACAUGCAAGUCGAGCGCGCGGCGGACGGGUGUGUAAUGUCUGGGAAACUGCCUGACGGAGGGGGAUAACUACUGGAAACGGUAGCUAAUACCGCAUACCAUCAGAUGUGCCCAGAUGGGAUUCGCUAGUAGGUGGGGUAAUGGCUCACCUAGGCGACGAUCCCUAGCUGGUCUGAGAGGAUGAACAGCCACCCUGGAUCGGAGACACGGUCCAGACUCAUACGGGAGGGAGCAGUGGGGAAUAUUGCACAAUGGGCGCAACCCUGAUGCAGCCAUGCCGCGUGUAUGAAGAAGGCCUUCGGGUUGGAAAGUACUUUCAGCGGGGAGGCGUUACCCGCAGAAGAAGCACCGGCUAACUCCGUGCCAGCAGCCGCGGUAAUUC